Molecule: ribosomal RNA, 322 nt
Filed under: uncultured eukaryote
Lineage: Eukaryota
Description: partial 18S ribosomal RNA
Rfam family: Eukaryotic small subunit ribosomal RNA
Source: RNAcentral
CCCUUAGAUGUUCUGGGCCGCACGCGUGCUACACUGAGUGGAUCAGCGGGUCAGGUUACGCGAGAGCGUUUCCUAAUCUUCAAAUCCGCUCGUGAUGGGGAUUGACGGUUGCAAUUUUCCGUCAUGAACGAGGAAUACCUUGUAAGCGCGGGUCAUCAUCCCGCGCUGAAUACGUCCCUGCCCUUUGUACACACCGCCCGUCGCUCCUACCGAUUGAGUGGUCCGGUGAGGCUUUGGGAUCUAAGCAAAAAGAGCGUUUCGCUCCUUUUGCUGGGAGAACUCAGUCGAACCUUAUCAUUUAGAGGAAGGAGAAGUCGUAACA